AAACACAGAAAUUCACUGAAAUUGGUGUGUAUACAAGCAAAUGGCAUGCGAUCUCUGCAAUCAAGUUUGUUUUCUGUUCAUCACACUCUUUGUUCCUUGUUUAAAAAGUCAAAGAAGAAGAAGAAACGGAAAGAUUUGUGGACAUGGAGGAUCGUUGAAGAAGGUGAGCGGAAUGGCAUUCGGAUGAGAAACUGGAUCUCAACAUUUAUGGGACCGCGUAAUCGGCCAAUACCGCGUGUGCCAGUGUGUUCCCGUUCUCAAAAUUACACCGCUACCCACCCAAGCCUAACUGUGUUGGUG
This 300-nucleotide unclassified non-coding RNA is filed under the name Hevea brasiliensis (rubber tree). Lineage: Eukaryota; Viridiplantae; Streptophyta; Magnoliopsida; Malpighiales; Euphorbiaceae. The record is from RNAcentral.